Molecule: ribosomal RNA, 869 nt
Filed under: uncultured archaeon
Lineage: Archaea
Description: bacterial SSU rRNA
Rfam family: Archaeal small subunit ribosomal RNA
Source: RNAcentral
CUCCCGUUUGAUCCUGCCGGACCCGACUGCUAUCAGAGUGGGACUAAGCCAUGCGAGUCAACAUAGCAAUAUGUGGCAUACGGCUCAGUAACACGUAGUCAACAUGCCCAGGGGACGUGGAUAACCUCGGGAAACUGAGGAUAAACCGCGAUAGGUCAUCACUUCUGGAAUGGGUAAUGACUUAAAUCUAUAUGGCCCCUGGAUUGGACUGCGGCCGAUCAGGCUGUUGGUGAGGUAAUGGCCCACCAAACCUGUAACCGGUACGGGCUCUGAGAGGAGGAGCCCGGAGAUGGGCACUGAGACAAGGGCCCAGGCCCUAUGGGGCGCAGCAGGCGCGAAACCUCUGCAAUAGGCGAAAGCUUGACAGGGUUACUCUGAGUGAUUUCCGUUAAGGAGAUCUUUUGGCACCUCUAAAAAUGGUGCAGAAUAAGGGGUGGGCAAGUCUGGUGUCAGCCGCCGCGGUAAUACCAGCACCCCGAGUGGUCGGGACGUUUAUUGGGCCUAAAGCAUCCGUAGCCGGUUCUACAAGUCUUCCGUUAAAUCCACCUGCUUAACAGAUGGGCUGCGGAAGAUACUAUAGAACUAGGAGGCGGGAGAGGCAAGCGGUACUCGAUGGGUAGGGGUAAAAUCCGUUGAUCCAUUGAAGACCACCAGUGGCGAAGGCGGCUUGCCAGAACGCGCUCGACGGUGAGGGAUGAAAGCUGGGGGAGCAAACCGGAUUAGAUACCCGGGUAGUCCCAGCUGUAAACGAUGCAGACUCGGUGAUGAGUUGGCUUAUUGCUAACUCAGUGCCGCAGGGAAGCCGUUAAGUUUGCCGCCUGGGGAGUACGGUCGCAAGACUGAAACUUAAAGGAAUUGGCGGGGGAGCA